UCGGGAAUUUUGGACAAUGGGCGCAAGCCUGAUCCAGCCAUGCCGCGUGCAGGAUGAAGGCCUUCGGGUUGUAAACUGCUUUUGUACGGAACGAAAAGGUGCCUUCUAAUAAAGGGCGCUCAUGACGGUACCGUAAGAAUAAGCACCGGCUAACUACGUGCCAGCAGCCGCGGUAAUACGUAGGGUGCGAGCGUUAAUCGGAAUUACUGGGCGUAAAGCGUGCGCAGGCGGUUUUGUAAGACAGAGGUGAAAUCCCCGGGCUCAACCUGGGAACUGCCUUUGUGGCUGCGAGGCUGGAGUGCGGCAGAGGGGGAUGGAAUUCCGCGUGUAGCAGUGAAAUGCGUAGAUAUGCGGAGGAACACCGAUGGCGAAGGCAAUCCCCUGGGCCUGCACUGACGCUCAUGCACGAAAGCGUGG
RNAcentral lists this ribosomal RNA (417 nucleotides) under uncultured bacterium. Its description in RNAcentral is "bacterial SSU rRNA". It matches the Rfam family "Bacterial small subunit ribosomal RNA", at positions 355 to 764 of the family's 1533-position model. The record is from RNAcentral.